AAGAGACUGUAGAGAUUUUCAACUUGGGGAAAUACUGUGUGAUUGACCUCUGUGUUUUCCCAAGAAUAGAAUCAAUAAUAAAUGAUAUUUUUAUUCGCAAGGGUUUAGGCUUCUGCCUCUCUGCACACUCAAGGUUAAGUUAAUAAAAUGUGUGUGGAAGUCUACAGCUCCAUCUGUUCAUUCCCGUACUCCAGAGAAGAACAAAGUAAAUACCAGGCCCUGCGGGUUCUGCCUCAUCAUGCUUUACUAAUCACCAUUCCCCUCUGGCUGCCACCUGUCCUGGCUCCAGCUCAAAGACCCAGUGGAAACCUUCAGGGAAAGGUGAAAUCCUUCAUUAGAGGCUGCACAGCCCUACUUCCUGCUUCUAAACUGCUUCCUGCCCGAGGCCCUCUACCAGGAGUUGAGUGGGAGCCAUCAAGUCCAGUAAUUGGACCAAUAGACACUGCUCUCUCAUCCUCUGCCCACAGACAUCAACCAGACCCCAGAGCCACUCAUCAAAUCUCCAAGCUGGGAGAGAUCUGAGAGAGAGGCAUUUUGCAGCGACAUGGGGGUGGGGAGGAAUAACACUAAAACGUGAUACGAAGAGAAAGUCUUUCUUCCAAGUCUUUUGAUGGCAUUUUCAACUCAUAAGGAGACUAAUUGCUGCAUCAGAAAAAGGAGAGCUUUGUAGAAGGGGGUGAGAAACUGCCCCUGACAUCAUCCCAAUAGCACAAGAGGAACUUUAUUCUCGGGAUGGACACACAUACACACGCGACUGAAACGGUCUCUUAAAUAUGGAAUCCCCAGAUAACAUGCAAGAGACUUAAAGGGGGGAUGUGUCGGCAAGCUGAUUGCUUCACAGCUGGAAAAAAUUAGAGACUGCAAAGGACAGAAUGGACUCAGCAAUGAGACACAGACCGGUGUUGGAAGAAAGAAGCAUUUCCCAGUUGCACCUCAAGAAGUCUUCAUUGUCAAGAGUGAACAUUCGCUGGAGUUGAUUACAGAAUCCUUGGACUCCACACUCUCUGGCGAUAAAAACACCCCUGCUGUAGUUGGAUGGCUCUCCACCCGCCGCCUCACCUCUGCUUUGCUUGGUCUCCUUGUACUCUGUGAUUUCGUAUUUCUUUUGAUUUCUUGAUUCAGCCUGGCCAUAUGUCCAGAGUGACUUUGUAAACCCAGUCUGGGCUGAACCCCAGGCUGCAAGUUGGAAUCCCUCUGGGCCUGUGAAGCUUACUGAUCUCAGGAGAGAGAACAUUUUCUUGCCAAAUCACUGCUCUCAAAACAAACUCUGGGAUGGCAGCCUCAUUACCUUGUGCCUGCCAGUGCACCCCCAGCUGUGAUGCUCUGACUCUGAACUUCUCCUCCUCCUCCCCUGUUGAGUUUAUGUGUGUUUUAGUUCCCUCCCAAGAGGGGCUAUACUUCACUGGUAUUAAAGUGAUCAGCUCUGGAGAGUUUACAGAGUCUUCCAUUUCCCCAAAAUCAAUCUUGGAUUCCUAAACGCCCACAUGUUUAGCACUUAGGAGCUGGAAGUGGCUGCGCUGGA
This is a non-coding RNA of Oryctolagus cuniculus (rabbit), 1522 nucleotides long. The record is from RefSeq and is a predicted model, not a curated record. Lineage: Eukaryota; Metazoa; Chordata; Mammalia; Lagomorpha; Leporidae.